UACGAAGGGGGCUAGCGUUGUUCGGAAUUACUGGGCGUAAAGCGCGCGUAGGCGGUUCGCCAAGUCGGGCGUGAAAACCCCGGGCUCAACCCGGGAAUUGCGUUGGAUACUUGCUGACUUGAGGUCGGGAGAGGGUAGUUGAAUUCCCAGUGUAGAGGUGAAAUUCGUAGAUAUUGGGAAGAACACCAGUGGCGAAGGCGGCUACCUGGCCCGAAUCUGACGCUGAGGCGCGAAAGCGUGGGGAGCAAACAGG
Molecule: ribosomal RNA, 253 nt
Filed under: uncultured bacterium
Lineage: Bacteria
Description: partial 16S ribosomal RNA
Rfam family: Bacterial small subunit ribosomal RNA
Source: RNAcentral